RNAcentral lists this ribosomal RNA (439 nucleotides) under uncultured bacterium. RNAcentral's name for it is "partial 16S ribosomal RNA". It matches the Rfam family "Bacterial small subunit ribosomal RNA", at positions 339 to 795 of the family's 1533-position model. The record is from RNAcentral.
CUACGGGUUGCACCAGUGAGGAAUAUUGCACAAUGGGGGGAACCCUGAUGCAGCAACGCCGCGUGGAGGAUGACGCAUUUCGGUGUGUAAACUCCUUUUAUAUGUCAAGAAAAUGACGGUAGCAUAUGAAUAAGCACCGGCUAACUCCGUGCCAGCAGCCGCGGUAAUACGGAGGGUGCAAGCGUUACUCGGAACCACUGGGCGUAAAGGACGCGUAGGCGGGUUGGAAAGUCAGGUGUGAAAUCCUACAGCUUAACUGUAGAACUGCACUUGAAACUUCUAAUCUAGAGUAUGGGAGGGGGAGAUGGAAUUAGUGGUGUAGGGGUAAGAUCCGUAGAUAUCACUAGGAAUACCUAAAGCGAAGGCGAUCUCCUGGAACAUUACUGACGCUAAGGCGUGAAAGCGUGGGGAGCAAACAGGAUUAGAUACCCCCGUAGUC